GGUCCAAUGGUCUAGUGGUAUGACGCAACCUUCACAGGCAAUAAAACGCCCAGUACGGUUUAGGUCCCGGGUUCGAACCCCGGUUGGACCU
This is a non-coding RNA of Mariannaea sp. PMI_226, 91 nucleotides long. Lineage: Eukaryota; Fungi; Ascomycota; Sordariomycetes; Hypocreales; Nectriaceae. The record is from the annotation of a GenBank genome assembly.